Molecule: long non-coding RNA, 8325 nt
Filed under: Setaria viridis
Lineage: Eukaryota; Viridiplantae; Streptophyta; Magnoliopsida; Poales; Poaceae
Description: long non-coding RNA (SVIR_LNC008983)
Source: RNAcentral
CAGAGGUUUCUCCUCUAGGGUCCCUAGCGUAGAGACAUCGCCCUAUACGAUCGAGCUUAAAGGAAGGCAGGGAUGCUACCAGGACAGCUUAAUCCAUUUCCAUGGGUCAAGCUUACAUGCGGCUUUCCCUUUCGGGAAACCCCAAGCACUUAGCACAAACCUUGAUUACCUUACAAACCGAGGGACGAGCUCCAACGGCCUCCCUUUAUUCUAGUGGUGGUAGUACAGAGGUGGAGUAAUACAGCGGUAGAUUCUAAAAUAUGGUGGCUAAUUCUAUCUCUCUCAGAGAGUGGUGGUGGAUGUCUUCAUGAGUGGAGUGUGGGUGGAGGUCUUCGGUGGUGGAGUGUGUCUUCGUGAUUCUUGGUGAUGCUCUGGUUGUGGUCUGGUUGAUGCCGUAGUGUGUUAAUUUUACCUUUACAGGUAUUCUUAUUCCUACAAUUUCUUUAAAUGGUAAUCUAACUAUGUAUUUGCUGCCAAAAUUAAUUAUAGCAUCUUUUAAUUGUAUAGCCUUAUCAUUAUUUUUAUCAACUAUGGCUUGAUCUUUAAACUCAGUGUUGCCACUAACAUUUCCUUCAAUCUUAUUAUUAUUAAAUUCUAUUUUACUUCUUAGAUCUUCCAACUCAGCUUCUAAGAUAUUUACUCUAUUUUCUAAAUUUCUAACUCUACUUGCUAGUAUUUUAUCUUCUGCUACUAUUUCUAUUUCUUGUCUCCAUUUCUGAUUAGCAUUCCUUAAACAUGAAGCACAUGCUUGUUUUAAACAUACACUACAUGUAAAUCUAUUAUCUUGACUAGGAUAAUAUAUACAAAAAGCACAUUUGAUAUUAUAAUCACCUCUUCCUUUUAUCCAAUCAUGCUCACAAUCUCCUUGAUCCAUUAAUUCAGUUUUAGCUUCUUUCGAAUCACUUGUUUCUUCAUCUUUUAUUUCUAGCGCAUCCAUAGCAUUUUCUAUAUUAUGUAUUUCCUCUUCACCAAGAGAGUUUAUAAAAUCAUUGUGACUCUGCAUAUUAUUUUCUUCUUCUUCAUAUCUUUCUAAAAGAUACCUUUCAUCAACCUUCUUUUGGGCUUCUUUAUCAAUAGUGGAAUCUUUCAUGAUAUCACUUUGCGGAACUUCUUUUGCUUUAUAUCUUCAGAAUUAAAAUGUUUUUGCCCAUUUUUUCUUAAUUUUGCAUAUAAUGGCCCAGCUAGUUUUGCUAAGUUUUCUAUGUAAUUUCUAGCAUAAUUUACUAUACCUAAAAAUUGCUGCAAGGUUUUCUUAUCAUUCAUGACAUCAGGAAAUUGCAAAAUUUUCUUUGCAAUAUGAUCUUGUAAAUAAAUUUUUCCCUCUCCUAUUUCAUGGCCUAAGAAAUUUAUCUUUUCUUUGCAUAUUUCCAUCUUCUUUUUAGAAAGUAUUAACCCAUGCUGCUCUACCUUUCUAAAGAACGUUUCCAAAUGAGCUAUAUGGUCUUUAUAAGAUUUUGAAAAAACUAAUAAAUCAUCUAUAUAAACCAAUAUGAAGUCUUGAUUUUCAUUAAAGAUAUUCUGCAUUUUUCUUUGAAACAGAGCAGGGGCAUUUUUUAGUCCUAAUGGCAUUACCAACCAUUCAAAAUGACCUUGAGGACAUGUGAAAGCAGUCCAACCUAUUGAUUCUUCUGCCAUUUUUACUUGCCAAAAUCCAACUUUUAAAUCAAAUUUUGAGAAAUAUUUGCUUCCUUGUAUUCUAUUUAUCCAUUCUUGCUUAUUUGGGAUAUUAUAUCCGUCAUCUAUUGUAUUAUCAUUUAAUCUUUUAUAAUUAAUAACCAUCCUUGACUUUUCUCUGGCUAUUUCAGCAUGAUUUCUAACUAUAAAGGCUGCUGACCUAUGGGGACUUCUGCUUUCAGUUAAAGUUCUAUGGGAACAAUGGGUAGAAACUUAUCCUCAUUAUUAUGAAGAAUUAAAAAGAGCUGGUAGCAACCCUUAUAAUUUUGCAAAUAUCAUAUCAAGUAUUGUUAUAGAUGAAGAUCCAGAAUUAGGUUAUACUGCAUUACAAAAUGAAAGAUUGAAGGAAAUAGAGAAAUUGACUUUAACAAAUUGGAAAGGAAUAAAAGAGUUCUCUCAGCAUUAUUUGUAUAACCCCACAACUGCUAAGCAAGGCUAUAAUAAGAGUAUAGUUGAAAGAUAUUUUAAUAAACUACCAGAUCCUUUAGGAUCUAUGAUAUUUGAAGAAUAUAAAAAGGAAUCUAAUGGAAGGGAAUAUAAUAUUUCUCAGGCUAUAACAUUUGUUUUUAAGCAACUAAGAAAAAUAUGCACAAGCAUACAAGCUCAAAGGUCAAUGAAGCAAUCAGAUUACAACUUUUGUAAUAAAAUAGUUCAAAUACCAUUGACAUAUGGAGAAGAGAAAUAUAGAAAUAAGAAAUACCCUAAAAAUUAUAAAAAGGGAAAUGUAAAAACAAAGAAAAGAUAUUUCCUAAGGAGAUCAGAUAAUAGAGCUCCUUUCCUUCACAAGAGAAAUGUAAGAAGAUAUAAUCCUAGGAAAAAUUAUGAUAGUACUUGUAGAUGCUUUAUUUGCAAUUCUCCAGAUCAUUUAAGUAAAACUUGUCCUAAUAAGGAUAAGAAGAGAUAUUCUAACAAGCAAGAAGAGCAAGAAAAGGUGUUAAUUAUAGAUAGUGUUAAUGAAAAUAUUUUGGUAUGUGAUGAUGAUAUAAUGGAUGAUGAAUCUAUAUAUUCAAUAAUAGAAACAGAUGAGAUUGAAUAUAAUGAAGAAGAUGAAUCGAGUGAUGAAGAGAUGAACUUGAUUGAGGAACUAGCAGGGUUAAAAAUAGAAAUGAUGGAUCAAGUAAUUCAGGAUCAUAAAAGAGAUGACGAUAAUAUAAAUUGUGUAUUUUGUAUAUAUUAUCAAGAUCCAGGAAAAAGGGCUACUUGUAGUUUAUGUAUAAAGCAGGCAUGUAGAUCAUGCUUAGAACAACCAAGUGACAAGAAAGUAGUCAAUACAAAAUGUGAGGAAAAUAAGAUCAGUCCGAAGGAGGACUCUUCAAAUGAUAAAAGAAAUAAUAAAUAUUUAACCAAUACUCCACACGAGUUUCUUAUCCCUAGGAUAAGUUUUAAGACUGAACAAGUGUUGGCAUAUUUUACACAAGAUAUUAUAGAUCUAAUAUGGAAGAAAUAUGCUGAAAGACAGUACAAAACAUUUCAGGAUAUACAAAAUUACUUCAUGAGGCUAUAUCAAGGUAUAGAAAGGAAUUUGGGAAUAAUAGUUAUUAUAAAUACCUUUCCUUUGCUUCAUCUUGAUGAUAAGUUAAUUGUUAAGCCUCAUCAUAAAUUUAUAAUACUUAAGGCUGAUAUAAACCUAAAAUAUUUUACAAAUAUACAAAGGCAUACAGGAGAAGAUAUUUCUUUACAAACUAUUAUUGAUCAUGGGUUAGUCCGAGAUAUUUAUGGAACAUUGGAGGAAAUACUUCAAUCUGAUUUAGGAAAGGCUAUUAAAGAAGCAUGCAAAAGAUUGGCGUGUGUUCAAGGAAAGUAUAAAAUAAAAUACUUUUCUAACCCACCAAAAUUUACACUACCAUUGAGACCAGCAAGUCAUGAUAUAUAUAUUAUAAAAGGUUCAUAUAAAUUCCCUACGAUAUGGUCUUCAGAAACAUGGUACAAUUAUGAAGAAAUACGUGCCAAAAAUAAUCAUGAUAAUUGGAGAAUUUUCAGUGAAGCAAAAGAAAUAGAAGGAAAUACUAAAUUCAAUACUGAGUACCAUAUGAUGUAGCAAAACAAAAUAACAAAAAUAUUUUUACGAGAAUAUUAUGGAAGGAAUAGUAUAAUAUCAAAAGAAGUAGGAAGGCUACUUAAGCCAAAUUAUGGAAUGGAAUGCCAGUUAAGAAAAGAAUAUCGUGAAUUACUGUCAUGGUAUCAACUGUGGCAACCAGAGGAACCGGAUAUUGAAGAAGAAGAAUAGAAAUACAGUUCGCAUAAAAGAGUAUUUUAUCACACAAGGGAAUAAAUCUCCAGUGUUGUUAAAAUGUUAAUAACAAUUCGGCUGGGGCAGAAUAAUACUACAUGUCAUGAUGUUCUGAUUGAAGUCUGCGACGUCAAUCAUUCGGGCGUGGAAGACCAUACCAAGCAGCAUCCGGAAUAUCACGAGAAGACAGUACGCGAUAGAGGACAAGGCAAAAAGAAUAAACAACAACUCUACUGUACCCAGGACAAUUAUUGAGGAGCGGAGAGCCGUCCAAGUGUCCAGGCAAUAGAAGAGGAGAAUAGUUGAAGGCACCAGAAGCCUUAAGCACGAAGCAACUUCAGAAGCCUCUGCCGCGACUAUAAAAGGAGGUACCGGGUGAAGCAUUGGAGGCACCACCACCGCAGCACGACACCACACUACGACAUCAACCAGAUCACAACCAAAGCAUCACCAAGAAUCACGAAGACACACUGCACCACCGAAGACCCCCACUCAUACUCCACUCAUGAAGACAUCCACCACCACUCUCUGAGACAAAGAAUUAGCCACCAUACUUUAGAAUCUACCGCUGUAUUACUCCACCUCUGUACUACCACUACUAGAAUAAAGGGAGGCCGUUGGAGCUCGUCCCUCGGUUUGUAAGGUAAUCAAGGUUUGUGCUAAGUGCUUGGGGUUUCCCGAAAGGGAAAGCCGCAUGUAAGCUUGUCCUGUGGAAAUGGAUUAAGCUGUCUUGGCAGCAUCCCUGCCUUCCUUUAAGCUCAUUCGUAUGGGGUGAUGUCUCUACGCUAGGGACCCUAGAGGAGAAACCUCUGCGCGUGUCGUUCUCGUGUUAGCCCUGGUAGCGGCGUUUGAGGAGAACCCUGUGUGCGCAGAGAAGUGUUCCCUUCGGGUGGAACUGUCUGGGGAGACGAUAGAGCCUGAGUCCUGUUUGAGCGUGGCUGGGGACGGUGAGGGUGCAGUCCGGGCUGGCCUGGUUCUGAAGCGAGCCAGCGAGGCAUACGGUGAGUACCGAGUAGGACUGUCACAAGCAUAGCAGCACGUCCUGCUGAAUCUUCGGUCUCGCCAACCCGCAAAGAUCCUGAGAAUAGGCUUAAUUAAGGAAUAUACCUAAUCACGCACCCGCGCGUGCUCGUAUCCCUGAAAGAGACCCCGAAUAGUAGCUCAAUAGUGCGCAAUAGUGAGUGAAUAGUGGCUGAAUAGUGCCGCCACCCAUAGGUGCUCCAUCCACUCCCGGUGAGUGCUCGGGCACUAUUCAUAUUCCCGAAUUUGAAUAGUGAGCUGAAUUUAAAUAGUGCCGCGAAUUUGAAUAGUGUUCAUCGAAUUUGAAUAGUGCUGUGAAUAGUAACUCGAAAUUUGAAUUCCGAAAUUUUUCGUAGUCGCUCGUUCCCUCGCCCUUGAUCGUAUUAUCCCCUCGUCCAAUACUGGUAUCAGAGCCAGGCAUGCGGUGAGUACCGAGUAGGACUGUCACAAGCAUAGCAGCACGACCGGUUGAAUCUUCGGUCUCGCCAACCCGCAAAGAUCCUGAGAAUAGGCUUAAUUAAGGAAUAUACCUAAUCACGCACCCGCGCGUGCUCGUAUCCCUGAAAGCGACCCCGAAUAGUAGCUCAAUAAUGCGCAAUAGUGAGUGAAUAGUGGCUGAAUAGUGCCGCCACCCAUAGGUGCUCCACCCACUCCCGGUGAGUGCUCGGGCACUAUUCAUAUUCCCGAAUUUGAAUAGUGAGCUGAAUUUAAAUAGUGCCGCGAAUUUGAAUAGUGUUCGUCGAAUUUGAAUAGUGCUAUGAAUAGUAACUCGAAAUUUGAAUUCCGAAAUUUUUCGGAGUCGCUCGUUCCCUCGCUUUUGAUCGUCACGAGGAGACAGUGCGCGAUAGAGGACAAGGCAAAAAGAAUAAACAGCAACUCUACUAUACCCAGGACAAUUAUUGAGGAGCGGGGAGCCGUCCAAGUGUCCAGGCAACAGAAGAGGAGAAUAGUUGAAGGCACCAGAAGCCUUAACCACACUACGACAUCAACCAGAUCACAACCAGAGCAUCACCAAGAAUCACGAAGACACACUCCACCACCGAAGACCUCCACCCACACUCCACUCAUGAAGACAUCCACCACCACUCUCUGAGAGAGAUAGAAUUAGCCACCAUAUUUUAGAAUCUACCGCUGUAUUACUCCACCUCUGUACUACCACCACUAGAAUAAAGGGAGGCUGUUAGAGCUCGUCCCUCGGUUUGUAAGGUAAUCAAGGUUUGUGCUAAGUGCUUGGGGUUUCCCGAAAGGGAAAGCCGCAUGUAAGCUUGACCCGUGGAAAUGGAUUAAGCUGUCCUGGUAGCAUCCCUGCCUUCCUUUAAGCUCGUUCUUAUGGGGCGAUGUCUCUACACUAGGGACCCUAGAGGAGAAACCUCUGCGUGUGUCGUUCUCGUGUUACCCCUGGUAGCGGCGUUUGAGGAGAACCCUGUGUGCGCAGAGAAGUGUUCCCUUCGGGUGGAACUGCCUAGGGAGACGGUAGAGCCUGAGUCCUGUGUGAGCGUGGCUGGGGACGGUGAGGCUGCAGGCCGGGCUGGCCUGGUUCUGAAGCGAGCCAGCGAGGCAUGCGGUGAGUACCGAGUAGGACUGUCACAAGCAUAGCAGCACGUCCGGCUGAAUCUUCGGUCUCACCAACCCGCAAAGAUCCUGAGAAUAGACUUAAUUAAGGAAUAUACCUAAUCACGCACCCGCGUGUGCUCGUAUCCCCUGAAUGCGACUCCGAAUAGUAGCUCAAUAGUGCGUAAUAGUGAGUGAAUAGUGGCUGAAUAGUGCCGCCACCCGUAGGUGCUCCAUCCACUCCCGGUGAGUGCUCGGGCACUAUUCAUAUUCCCGAAUUUGAAUAGUAAGCUGAAUUUAAAUAGUGCCGCGAAUUUGAAUAGUGUUCGCCGAAUUUGAAUAGUACUAUGAAUAGUAACUCGAAAUUUGAAAUCCGAAAUUUUUCAGGGUCGCUCGUUCCCUCGCCCUCGAUCGAGAUUAACAUACCAGUAUUGGACGAGGGGAUAAUACGAUCAAGGGCGAGGGAACUAGCGACUCCGAAAAAUUUCGGAAUUCAAAUUUCGAUUACUAUUCACAGCACUAUUCAAAUUCAACAAACACUAUUCAAAUUCGCGGCACUAUUUAAAUUCAGCUCACUAUUCAAAUUCGGGAAUAUGAAUAGUGCCCGAGCACUCACCGGGAGUGGGUGGAGCACCUAUGGGUGGCGGCACUAUUCAGCCAAUAUUCACUCACUAUUGCGCACUAUUGAGCUACUAUUCGGGGUCGCUUUUAGGGAUACGAGCACGCGCGGGUGCGUGAUUAGGUAUAUUCCUUAAUUAAGCCUAUUCUCAGGAUCUUUGCGGGUUGGCGAGACCGAAGAUUCAGCUGGUCGUGCUGCCAUGCUUGUGACAGUCCUACUCGGUACUCACCGCAUGCCUCGCUGGCUCGCUUCAGAACCAGGCCAGCCCGGUCUGCACCCUCACCGUCCCCAGCCACGCUCACACAGGACUCAGGCUCUACCGUUUCCCCAGGCAGUUCCACUCGAAGGGAACACUUCUCUGCGCACACAGGGUUCUCCUCAAACGCCGCUACCAGGGCUAACACGAGAACGAGACACGCAGAGGUUUCUCCUCUAGGGUCCCUAGCGUAGAGACAUCGCCCCAUAAGAACGAGCUUAAAGGAAGCCAGGGUUGCUACCAGGACAGCUUAAUCCAUUUCCAAGGGUCAAGCUUACAUGCAGCUUUCCCUUUCGGGAAACCCCAAGCACUUAGCACAAACCUUGAUUACCUUACAAACCGAGGGACGAGCUCCAACGGCCUCCCUUUAUUCUAGUGGUGGUAGUAAAGAGGUGGAGUAAUACAGCGAAGAUUCUAAAAUAUGGUGGCUAAUUCUAUCUCUCUCAGAGAGUGGUGGUGGAUGUCUUCAUGAGUGGAGUGUGGGUGGAGGUCUUCGGUGGUGGAGUGUGUCUUCGUGAUUCUUGGUGAUGCUCUGGUUGUGGUCUGGUUGAUGUCGUAGUGUGGUGCAUCCAAUGCUUCACCCGGUACCUCCUUUUAUAGUCGCGGAAGAGGCUUCUGGAGUUGCUUCGAGCUUAGGGCUUCUGGUGCCUUCAACUAUUCUCCUCUUCUGUUGCCUGGACACUUGGACGGGUCCGCGCUCCUCAAUAAUUGUCCUGGGUACAGUAGAGUUGCUGUUUAUUCUUUUUGCCUUGUCCUCUAUCGCGCACUGUCUCCUCGUGAUAUUCUGGAUGCUGCUCGAGCGACUCCGAAAAAUUUCGGAUUUCAAAUUUCGAGUUACUAUUCACAGUACUAUUCAUAUUCGGGAAUAUGAAUAGUGCCCGAGCACUCACCGGGAGUGGGUGGAGCACCUAUGGGUGGCGGCACUAUUCAGCCACUAUUCACUCACUAUUGCGCACUAUUGAGCUACUAUUCGGG